Molecule: ribosomal RNA, 626 nt
Filed under: uncultured bacterium
Lineage: Bacteria
Description: bacterial SSU rRNA
Rfam family: Bacterial small subunit ribosomal RNA
Source: RNAcentral
AGCUAGUUGGUAGGGUAAUGGCCUACCAAGGCAACGAUGGUUAGCUGGUCUGAGAGGAUGAUCAGCCACACUGGAACUGAGACACGGUCCAGACUCCUACGGGAGGCAGCAGUGAGGAAUAUUGCGCAAUGGGGGCAACCCUGACGCAGCAACGCCGCGUGAGUGAGGAAGGUUUUCGGACCGUAAAGCUCUGUCGAGCGGGAAGAAAUGCAUAGUGGCUAAUAUCCAUUAUGCUUGACGGUACCGCUAAAGGAAGCACCGGCUAACUCCGUGCCAGCAGCCGCGGUAAUACGGGGGGUACUAGCGUUGUUCGGAAUCAUUGGGCGUAAAGAGCGUGUAGGCGGCUGGAUAAGUCAGAUGUGAAAGCCCUGGGCUUAACCCAGGAAGUGCAUUUGAAACUGUUCAGCUUGAGUAAGGGAGAGGAAAGUGGAAUUCCUGGUGUAGAGGUGAAAUUCGUAGAUAUCAGGAGGAACACCGGUGGCGAAGGCGACUUUCUGGCCCUAUACUGACGCUGAGACGCGAGAGCGUGGGUAGCAAACAGGAUUAGAUACCCUGGUAGUCCACGCUGUAAACGAUGUUCACUAGGUGUUGGGGGUAUUGACCCUCUCAGUGCCGCAGCUAACGCA